Marmota monax (woodchuck) is the source of this 10470-nucleotide long non-coding RNA. RefSeq lists it as uncharacterized. The transcript has 3 exons. NCBI's taxonomy places the organism in Eukaryota, Metazoa, Chordata, Mammalia, Rodentia, Sciuridae. The record is from RefSeq and is a predicted model, not a curated record.
CCUGUCCUGGUUGGGAAGGAAGUUUCUAAGAUAUGGCAUGCCAAACAAUUAAUAGUUUCAUAUCUGUGAAAGAUUUCCUAGUGCAACUGAGCUCAGUGAGCUGCAUAUUUUAUAAAAAGGACAUAAUUCUACUGAUAAUUAUUUUUCCUGCAAAGAAAUAAGUCAUGUUUUUUUUUUUUGCAAGUAUAGAAGGUGAAACUUAUUGUCAGAACACUGACAUUUACCUCUAUAAAUUUAAGCAGUUCCUGAAGGUCAUGGGAAACAAGUGACAAAGAGAAUGGUUCUGUCUGAAAAUAAAAUGAUCAUAUAAAAGCUCCUUUGGAAUGCUAACAUUCUAUUAAAGCGUAACUAACAUAUUUAAACCAUUAUUGUGCCAUUGUAAAUAUGCUUUUAGAUUUUUAUAUUACAGACAACUUCCUGAACUCUAUUAUUUUGCAAAAUCAAAUCAUUAUUUUGGUGAAAAUAAUGAUAGGUAGGGUUUGUUGGUAGAUGUAUCAGCGAUUGUCUUGCAACUUGAAUGCAGUCAUUGGGAGCCCAGGGUUUUUGUAAUGAAGACUGUCGAUCUAGUCUUUUUGAGACAACCUGUAUGAUGUUGCCACAUUUACAUUGUAAACACUUGAACAUAUAAAUUUCUAAGAUAGCUUAUUCUGGUGUUUUUAGCUGAACUUCUAAUCAUCAAGAGGCCAAGAUUCCAUGGUAAAUGAAAGACGUCAAUAGUAAGGGAAUGUGCCUUCUUACACAUCACUCGGAAUGUUUUACCACAGCGUAAUAUCCUUUUUAUUAUUGAGCAAGCCAAUGAUGUCCAAGCUCAUCGUAAGGCCCAUCUGCCGUUUUAUUCCUUAUCUCUCCAGAAACGAGACAGAUGAUGCAGCAUACUCAGGAUCCACAUUUCCUAAAUGUUUAACAUUGUACAAGCUAAAUGGAACUUUGAUUCAAUGUGUUAAAAGUCAGCUAUUUACAAGACACAUCGAUGGUUACUGCAAAUAAAUAAAGCUGCUAAUUGAUUAUGCAUGCUCAAAAUACCCUUUUAGAGUGUAUCAGAAGUAGAGAGGGCUACCUGGGAGCAUUAUACCUGGAAGGGAGAUUGUACACAAAACUUAGCUCAAGGAGACCAUGUUCCUGGGUUCACUCAAAUGAGUGAAUAUGAUGAAUAUUUAUUGUGCAGCUAUACUGUGCCUAUGUCUAAAUACAGGCUCCGAAUAAUUCAGUGGUCAUUCAACAUGUAAUUAAAAGAGUUGCUGUCACAUACCAGGCAUUGCACUGAGUGUGGGGGACUCAAUAUAGAGCAAUACAGACUCAGUCUUUGCCUCAAGAAGGUACAUUUAGAGGGGAGACUACAAACAUAAACACGGAGAAGGCUCAGGCCAACUGUUUCCAGGUUUAGGUAUCUUCUCUUCCAGACUCUCUUUCCUCUUUUCUCCAUCCAACUGUGCACCCAGGAAGUUGAUCUGUGAGCACAACAUAAUGGACUCCUUUUCUCUGUGGCUGUGUGUUGUACUUGUCCAGCAGUGGCCAAAGACUGAAGGUAGAGAAUAUGAUAUAUUCUGUGCAAUACCAGAAACUGUUGAAAAUGUCGCACAAGAGUUGUCACAGAGGAUGAAGAAGAAUCAGACUCCAGAGCUUGGCAGAUGGACUUAAAUCCCUCCUUGGACAGUAAUCCACUGCAUGGAUCUUUGAGGCUAUGAUUCUAUCCACAACAAAGAAUGGUGUUGGCUACCUUAGGAGUCUGCUACUAGAGCUGGUCUGUGAUCUGUGCCAGAUACUCACCAUCCUCUUUACUUUCACCCUAGAAUGAUCUUGAAAAUAAUUUGCAGUUCUCAACUCAGGAAUGCACUGAAGUGUAUCCACUGUACUUGAGUUUGAAGGAAAAGACACAAGUUGUACAGCUGGAGCCAAGCAUGAGGAGACACACAGUGGAUAAGUGUUAAAAAGCUUUUCUGAUGCUCUGAUGGAGAACUGUCAGAGGGCACAUGAAGCUGGCUCUGAGAGAAUGGAGAUGCUGAGAGGAGCUUCCUGGAGGAACAGAUCGUCAAUGCAGGACACAAUGAAUAUGUUGGCACAGAAAAAAUAAAAUACCUGGAAGGCAGUUGACUCAAGAAAAAGAACCCAGCAUGUUCAAGGGUCUCCAGAAAGCUUAAUAAGGCUGACAGAAAGACAACUGUAGAAAGGGACCAAGAAGGAAGUCUGGUUCAAUUCAUGUAACAUCUUAGAAGAAAUAUUGAAAAUUUUUGACUUCAUCCUGAAGACAAUUGGAAGUUUUUAAAAGACCUUUGUUAGACAGGCUUCAUAACCACAAUUAGGAUUUUAAAGAGAUCCUACCUGCUACUCCUGGGAGAGCAGAUUGGUGACCCAAGAGAGACAGGAGUCCAGUUGGAAGAAUAUCAUAUUUUCAUUGUUCUGUAAUAGACAGGAGAUGAAGCAUGCACUAAAACUCCAGGGAUGGAGAAGGGGGAUUCUAAGAGCAUUUUAGAAGCAGAAUUGGCAGGAUGGGGUGCCUGGUGUACGAGGUCAUAAAGGCAGGGAGGGAUCAGGAUGAAUACACAUUCUUGCAAAUGCAUGUAAGGAACAGAGGAGGGGCGAGCAUUAUUUGGGAAAGCAGAGUUUUAGAUGCUUUUGAAUUUGAGAAAUUCAAACAGAGAGAUUCUGAUCUCUAUGUGAGGACUCGUACAUAGAUUUGGGCUUGAGAAAUGCACAGCAAUGGUAAGUAGGAGGAUAUUAAUGAUUGCUUAGAAACAGAGUGUGCAGAGGCCGGAUGGAGCCCCAGAGAACUCCAGCAUUUCACUGCUAUUUGGAGGAGUAUGACCUAGUAAUGAAGAUUAGCUUGAGCAGAGAGAUAGAAAAGAAAAAUCAAAUGUAGAUGUGUCCGUAAUGCCAAAGUAAAUGAUUGUUUCAAGAAAAAAAUGCAGACCCUUUCGAAUGGGGCUAUGAGAUAAAAUGAAAUGAGGGUUUUAAAGAUGAUAUUAGCAUUGUUUGCUUUGGAAAGAACGCUUCUUAGUAAUAUUUAAGUUAUCAGUGACUUGGCAAAAGCUGUUAGUACAAUGGUAGGAAGAGAUGGCUAAAAGGAGGAAGGGAAGUGAGAAAUGAUAAAUAUGGAUAAUUGUGGAAUUUGACAGUAGAAAGUAAAACAUUAGUAGAAGUAGAAGAAGAGUGAUGUUUGAAGCUGAACAUGCAUACAUACAUAUACACACACACACACCUGUGCACUUAAAAAGAAUAGAUGCACAUAGUUUGCUGAUGAUGGGGUAAAGAGAAAACUAAACAUGCUUAGUUCCUACUGAGGUUUUCAAAAUGAAAGAAAGAAUCAGGUAUUGGAGUGGAAUAUUUUUGUAGGUUUUAAGACUAAGAAUUGAGGCAAAUUUCAUCUGUUGACUUCUGUUUUUCUGUGAAUUCAGGGGAUUACUUGAGGUUUUCUGCUGAGAUAGAGCAAAGAGUUUCAUAAGCAAAAUCUAUUAUUUCCUACAUGUAUCUUUCUAUGUUCCCAUCAACCAAGAGAAUCAAUACUUCUCUUAUAUCCCCAGUUCUUCACGGCCAAAUCUCAAGGCUCCCCCUAUAAGCAGACACCAAUGCUAAGCCCUUGUGAUGAUGGAAGCCAUUAUUAUGUAUUUCUCGCUAAAACCUGAGAUGGUUUUCUGUUAUCAUUGUCCAUGUUCUCUAUCCUGGAUGAGCUCUGAUUUGCACUAGCUCUUCCUGACUCAUGGUUUGGGGCUAAUGCAGAUCUGGGAUGGUUCUAUAUUUGUGUUCAUUGCUCUUGCCUAGUUGCUUUAUCUGGUUAUGAUCAUGAGAAUUAGGUGAGAAAGAACACCUUUCCCUCUUCAUUUCUAUAUAAUAUUAUCCCCGUUUUUUCUUUUAUCUUUUUUUUUUCCUUUGCAUCAUCUAAAAAGUGUAAGGAGAAGAAAAGAAACUUGUGUGGGUAGGCCAAUGAGCAAGUAAAUCACUUUUGGUGUCUUAGAAAUUUUCAGUAUAUGGUGAUUCUACCAACAAAUGCCACAAUUGCCUUAAACCUAUCACUCAUAUGAUAAAAAGGAAAAUGUAUGAUAUUUCAAUAGUAUAUCCAAAUGGGGACAUUUCCCUUCCUUUCUAAUAAGUAUACUGUGUUCUAAUAGAAAGUCCAUUAUUUCUCAUUAAUGAGCCAAUUAGAAAAUUAUUGCUGGGUUGCAUAGACAAGAGGAACAGUCCUGACCGAUAAUGGCAGGGAGGAAAACCAGGAAAUAUCCUCUCUUUUUGUUCCUACUGUUAAUCUUAGAAUAGUGUUUGUUGUCCAUUCAAAUUCUUGAGUUUAUAAUCCAUGUUAUUUAGUAAUUUCAAUUACUCACAAUAAGAAACAUAAGAAAUGUAUAGCGUAAAGAUUCUUUGUAAUAGAAGAAUUUCAGCUUAGAAAUGUUCACAGAAUGAUAUGUUAGAGAAAUUACAGUUUUAUAACUCCUAAUCAGGCAGAAGAGUGGUCUUUGAGAAUCAUGUUUGCUUAUUUCCAGAAAUAGGGGAUGAAUCAUGAUAUAUGGAGCAAUGUCUACAUAGGAAGUAUAUGGAAUUCUUUCCUUUACAAGAAUUUACAUAGUGAAGUAUUAAUUGCAUUAGGAAUGGAUGCUUAAUCUAAAAAAUAAACCAUUAUAUGAAACAGAAAAAAAUAAAGAAAAAAAUUCAAGAAGUGAUAGACUAUUUCAAUAAGGAGAUAGAGAUCCUGAAGAAAAAUGAGUCAGAAAUCUUCAAAAUGAAGGAAUUUAUAAACCAAAUUAAAAAUUCAAUGGAAAGCAUCACCAACAUACUAGACCACUUGACAGAUGGAGAUUCAGGCAAUGAAGACCUUGUCCCUCUCUUGAAAGGUAUUCGCUUCUGAGUCUCAGGACUUGGUUUCAUGGUAAUUGGGUCUCCCUGUGUCUCCAGAGGCUUGGAGGGUAAUGCUUCACCCUGGCUAGGGGCAACACUUUACUCUUCACCCAGCCCAUCUGUCUUUCUGUGACCCUCCUCCUGCUCCUCACCCACCAUGAUUCCUCUGGCUGCACCUGGGCCCUCUCCUCUAUUUUCUUUAGUCCAGGGAAAGGGAGGUGACUGGGUAUCAUACAUUCUACAGCUUGGAAUACCUGUUCAGGACUGGACCUCCAUAAAUGGGAUCCUUGUGAAUCUGGUAUCUUUGAAGAAGUAGACUGGAUGAGCCAAUUUAGGUGCCAGUGCCAAGAGAUGGGUCAUAACUCAAAAGGUAAAGACACAUUUGUCAAGAUCACUGGGAGAAGAGGUUGAAAAUUUACCCUCUCCCUACCAGCAUGUGCAUAUGUCCAUGAGAGAUGGCACUCUGCUUGGUAAAACUGGGGAAUACGUAUAGGAAGAAAGUUAAAGAAAUUACAAUAGAAUAGCUAUUUGGGAUUUGGGACACUGGUGCUGAAGAUAUACUCUUAUUAGAGUAAAAUGAGGAAGAGCACAUUAGUCACCACAUACUCUACAUUACAACAAUGUAUAUAUGUAGCUGUAAAUGUGGAAAAUGAGGACACUGCCAUCUCUUUAUUGUCCUGGCUGAUAGCUUCCUUAAAUUAUGAUUGGCACAAUAUGUUGAAGUCAUCCAUGGUACCCUGUGUUGGAAGUCCAUGGGAGAACUCCAAGACCUUCUGAGGGAGUUACGGUGCUGCAGGCCCUUAAUGCAGCAAUCUGCACUGGUCCUAAUAAUGAACCAUUCACAGGAGAACUGAAGGACCAUUCUCCAAGCAUUUAUGAGGCAGUAUCAUGGAAGCCUGGGAUCAUUCCUGAUCUGUUAAUUGGCAUUUGAUUUUUCUCAAGCCACACAGGUUAUGGCUGUAUGGGAUAAACUAAAAAGAUGAGAAAGUGAGGUUACAGAGAAUAUAUCUUAGAAGGGGGAGAACUAAAGGGGAAAGAAAAUACCAGAGGUCAAAUGAGGAAAAGCAAGGACAAUAUGCCUUUGUGUUGGGAGGGCAACAAUGGUCUUUGUUCUUUCACAAGGAUAUUUGCCUAGUCUACCCUAUGUUAUGGGAUGGUGUUGGCACCUCUGAGCUGGACAUAACCUGAAUAAGUACCAAUGUUUUAUUAUUGUAUUGAUGAUGUGGUUUUAACAUCUGUGUCUUUACUUCACCUGAGCUGAGACUGCAGCUCAAAGAGUGUUGGCAACCUCCAAGAUGGACGAUGGGGUGUAAACUCCUCCAAGUUGCAAAGACCUGGGGUGUCUCUCAGGUGCUCAGGGGUUAUUUGGUUGUGUCCUGCUGUUGCUCAUAAAAAGAAAAUUUUUCCCAAUUCCCAGACACAGACCUUUCUGGAUGUUGAGAUGUUUUCAUCACUGUACUCCAUAAUUUAGGAUUAAUGUUAAAGACUUUGUAUGUUUUAGUAAAAGGUUGGCCUGGUGGGACUGGAAAUUGGAACAUCUCAAGUACUUCUCUGAACAAAAGUCAUUGUAGAGGAAUUACAAGCCUUGGGUAUAUUAGCCCAAGCACACACCUAUAAAUAUAUUUCCCUGCCCUGAUGGGUUGAAUGGGUCCUUAGGAAAUAUCAGGGCAAUAAAUGAGUUCAACUCUGACAUCCUUGGAAGAGGCAAAGAUAAUGAAAGACAUUUGGGAUCAAUCACCACAUUGGAACAGACUGUGCUUUCCUUUGGGAAGAGCAACAAUGGACUUUGUUCUUCCACAUGGUAUUUACAUAGCUUGAUAAUAGGUUAUGGGAUGGCGGACAAAACCAUAGGAGCUGCCAGAGGGAACCAAUUGAGUCUAUUGGCCAUGGGAAUGGCAAAAGGGCCUCAAUGAAGUGGGUUGCUAGUCCAUGGGCAAAAAGACUAGACCAAGACAUACAAAUAGGAAAAAAAACAAACAAACCUACCAGUAGAGAAUUUUUCAUCGCUGCGUGAGUUUCUCAUUUCAUUAUGGUCUAUAACUUCAUUGUUGUCAUACUUUUCUUUGCACAAGGACAUCUUGAACAAGAAAUAUGGUAUUGUAAAUGUGGUGAUGGGACACAGGCUGGUACUAUUCUCACUUAGAUUGAUCAGGUUGCUUAUGUGUUGCUGAAUAAUCCAAUUUCACUCCUGUUGCAUAUUACCCUUAGAGCUAAGGUAUUUAUAUAACAGACAAAUAUCAUAAUAGAUGUGCAGAAUAAAAUGAUUCCUGGUUGUACAUUGAGGUGCCUCUGUCCUCCUCUUCUCAUCUCCUGUGGCAUCUUCAGUCAGCCACGUUAGUGUAGAGGGAGCAAAUGUGAAAACUGGAGCCACAGCUGCAGCUCAUGGACACAGCUGGAUAACUGCCCUAUGGAAUUGAACAUAAAUGUAUCUUCCUUUAAGGAAACCAAAUAGCAUGACUUCCAUUAUAUGUGGAAAUAAAUAAUUAUGACAAAGCAAAAAAAAAAAAAAAAAAAAAAAGGAUCAUGUUUGAUUUGUCCCAACUCCCCAUAGCCUGUGAUUUCUGCAGAAUCUCAGUGUCAGUCAGAACCUGCUUUUUGGAGUGAACCAAUGUGCUCAAUUCUGGGGUCAUCACUUUCUGGCAAUGUGACCACAGCUAGUUGCAUAAUCUCCUUAAGUUUCAAGUUUAUUCUCUGUUAAAUGGUGACAUUAGUAGUGUUUGUCUCUAAGGAUCAAAUGUUAUAAGACAUAAAGUGUUUAAUUUUCAUUAAAAAUCAUAAUUGCUAUUCUGCAAGAGAUACUGAUUUAACAUUCAUUUUGGAAUAGACAUGGUUCUCGUGACUAGAAGCAAAAAUGUGUGCAGGACUCCCAGCUUUGUGAAGCUUAUGUUCCAAUGGGGAAACAGACCAAAUAUAGUGCAGAGGCCAAUGAUUACAAGUCUUAAUAAAUGCCCAAGGAAAGUAUCUGUCCAUUAGAGUAGAAUAAUCAUGGAAGGCAUCUCUGAGAAGGUGACAUUUAAACAAUGAAAAAUGAAGAGUCUCGUGUGGGAGAGGGAGCAUUUGUAUGAGAGUCUGGGAAGAGCUUUGUCUUAUUUGCAGAAUCCAUGGGAACAAAGCCAGCAGUGUGUCACCAGAGAGGCAGGAAAUGAGCCCAGGUGACAGGAAAAGCCAGAUCCUAAUGUUACAGACCAGGGUUAGAAAUGUGGAUUUUGUUCCAAGUGCAGUAGGAAAUCAUUACUGGGCUUUGACAUAGACAAGUGAUCUCAAUGUGGGUUCUAAGUAUUCGUUGAAUGCUGCAUGGAUUCUAAAUGGGCAGGAGCGGAGGGUACAUGGUUGGAAGGCUGUUGUUCCAGGAAAAGCAAGAUCGGUGGUGGUUGAAGGUGGUGUGAAUGAAGUCAGAGAGAACAUGGGCUCAGGAUGCAGUUCUGAUGAUAUAAAAAGGGCUUGAUGGUAAUUAGUGCUAAGAAAGGGGAGUGGAGGUUGCAGAAUCACGACUUCCCUCCGGGCUUCUGGCAGGUUCAUGGGGUGGGAUGAUCCCACCAUAUUCAGAGAUGCAGAGAAGACAGGAGGGGAAGUAGGGCAGGACUGAGAAAAAAAAAAAAAACCUAAUUAGCAGUUCUUUUUAGGACUUGCUGAAUUUGAGAUGCUCAUGAGUGAGAAUAAAUGGAUGUUAUUAUUAUUUAUAAUAAUAUUGAUAGUAUGGGACUAUUUUUCCUGGAGCAUUUCUUUGGGAAUUCUUCUUUGAAAACCUGAGAUAAUCAUCAGCUACUAUUCAAAGACUUGGAAUUCUAUUUUGGUUAAAAGUUUCAUCACAAGUUCAGUGUGUUAAACAGUUUUGGAAUAUGUCAACUUUUGAAAAUCGCGGCUUCAGAAAACAUAAAAAUGGAAAACUAUGAAUGUGAAACUGAGUAGGACAAUUAAAUGGAGAGCUCACUUGCAGUCAAUAAAAUAGUGCAAUUUUGAAAGCCAACGGUAGCUCAUCAGUUUUUAUCUUAAUCACAUAAGAGGAUGAUAUGCCACACUAAAAUUGAGUUAAUGUAAUUGUAUUAGUUUCCAAAUUUGUUUAAUAGCAACACUUCAGAAGAAGCAAGUGGUAUAAUACCUUUCUCUCAGGCCCUGAAUCAUUUGCUCUAAACCAGUAUAAAAAUGGGUAUUAAUUCACAUUGUGGCUUAAAAAUGUAGCUACAAAACUCAAAAUUAAAUGAUUGAAAAUUAUUGUUUCCUCAGCAAUUACAGAUCACCUGUGUUAAGCUGACAUUUCCAGUGUGAUUAGGCUAGAAUAUGGUUAUCACAAGACUGAAGUGAUAUCUGGAAAAAUUUUUUCUUGAGAACUAGAUUUAUUUUUUUUUGUGUGUGUGCGAGGGUAGUACUGGGGAUUGAAGUCAAGGGCACUCAACCACUGAGCCACAUCCCCAGUCCUAUUUUGUAUUUUAUUUAGAGACAGGGUCUCACCAAGUUGCUUAGCAUCUGGCUGUUGCUGAAGCUGGCUUUGAACUUGAAACCUCCUGCCUCAGCUUCCCAAGCCAUUGGGAUUACAGGCAUAUGCCAGGCGCUGGCUGAGAACUGGAUGUUUUGAAGGUUUGCAUUUUUUUUUUCUAUUUGAAUUCUGCAAGGUGUUGAAUUUUCUUGUCACUUUUCCAAUAAAGAUAUAAAUAAAACUGAAACAUACUAUUUAACUAUGUGGAUUACCUGCAUGUGUUAUCAAGUAACUCAUAGCCCUAUGUAAUGUUGAAUGAUCAAACUCUCCGUUUGAGAAAUAAUAACUUCACAUACAAUGACUUAUUGUUUCUACCAGAGUGUGAGCCUUAUAUGAGAAACUCACUAAGUACUUUUAAAAUUAAAUUUACCUGAAUCUGGUCGUCUGUAAGUAGGGUGGCUAUUUAUUACAGUUGUGUAGAAUUGAGGGAGAUUUGGGGAUUUCAGCUUUAUAAUUGGCACAUUCUUGGGCAAAAUGGGAUAGGUUUUUUUUUUUUUUCCUUUCUCUAAAGUGAGUCUGCUUUAAUUAUUGAUUCUUCAGCGGCAAAGUUUUGUCUUGACAUAUUUUCUUGAUGUAUUUUUUAAAUUUGUAAGACUCCCUAAAAAUCAUUUUAAAAUUUAAUAUGUUGAUUUGGGGACUUUAAAAAAUAAAUUUUUUAAAGCUCUGUUUUUUUUUUGUUCUUUUUACAGUAUUUUUCAAGCCAGGCUGAGUCUUAUACUUUUUACAUGAUUGGAAUCUCAGAAUGAUUCCCACAGUAGACACUUUAUAUGUUGACUUAACAGAAUGGUUAUUUGUCAAGAAAAUAAAAAGAGACAGCAAUAAUCCGAGAAUAAGGGUUACUUUUCUUUUCUUGCAGACCCAAUUUGCAAGUUUACAUGAAAACAGGAAAUUACUGUAAUGUAUGCUUUGUAAAAUGGACUUGAGAAGAAAAAUGUGUGAGUAAUGUUUAGUUCCAAGUCUAAACUUAGACAGAAAUUUAUAUGAUCCAAAUGCAAUAACUUGGUAAUAAAGGUAUUAAUCAGAGUAAAGUUGUGUUGCAGCAGGAAAGCCUUAUUUUAAGCCCAUCAUUUCCAUUUUUUUCUCAUAAAUAACUAUUCUUUACUGUAUUCUUCAAUGUUUAACUGAAGUAUCAGACUUGUAGUUUUUAAUGAAACCCAAAUUAAAGAAAACAU